Molecule: ribosomal RNA, 482 nt
Filed under: uncultured bacterium
Lineage: Bacteria
Description: partial 16S ribosomal RNA
Rfam family: Bacterial small subunit ribosomal RNA
Source: RNAcentral
AGUGAACGUUGGCGGCGUGGAUUAGGCAUGCAAGUCGAGCGAGAACCGUAGCAAUACGGGGACAGCGGCGAAAGGGACAGUAAUGUGUAGGUACCUACCUCCGGGUUCGGGAUAGCUGCGGGAAACUGCAGGUAAUACCGAAUAACGUCUCCGGACCAAAGGUGUGAUUCCACCUGGAGAGGGGCCUGCAUCCUAUUAGCUUGUUGGCGGGGUAACGGCCCACCAAGGCGACGAUGGGUAGCGGGUGGGAGAGCACGACCCGCGUCAUUGGGGCUGAGACACUGCCCAGACACCUACGGGUGGCUGCAGUCGUGAAUCUUCGGCAAUGGGCGCAAGCCUGACCGAGCGACGCCGCGUGCGGGAUGAAGGCCUUCGGGUUGUAAACCGCUGUCGUAGAGGAGGAAAUGCAGGGGGGUUCUCCCCUCUGUUUGACCUAUUCUAGGAGGAAGUACGGGCUAAGUUCAUGCCAGCAGCCGCCGUAA